This 446-nucleotide unclassified non-coding RNA is filed under the name Acamptopappus shockleyi. RNAcentral describes it as "partial external transcribed spacer". The record is from RNAcentral. Lineage: Eukaryota; Viridiplantae; Streptophyta; Magnoliopsida; Asterales; Asteraceae.
UGCAUGAGUGGUGUUUGGUUUGAUACGGGUGGUCGGCUCCCUGCUUGAGCAGGCACGGCCACGCGUGCAUUCCUUUUCAGUUGUGCGGCAAGACUUGUAUCGUCUUGAUCGUAUAUGUGGGUUUCUUGUGUUGCAUACCUGAUCAAUGGCAUCGUUUUGAUCAAAAGUGUACCUUUUUCGUCUGGCGAUGCACUUGUUGCAUUGUCGGAUGAACCGUGUAGCAUCCUCUUUGAUCCAUACAGUUGACGUGUAUUUGUUGAUUGUUUGGCCUGUUGAGGAUGACUUGGUCUCUCGGAUAUGGAAGCCAAAGUGGGCAUGGGUUCGGAAGAUCCUUUUAUUGCCCUCAUUGAGCGUUCUCGCUUCUCUUACACGACCGCCUUUCACGUAUGGCACGUCCCAGCGUGUUUGGCUAUGUCGAAGAGGAAUGCUACCUGGUUGAUCCUGCC